UUGAUAAGCGUGAGGUCGGAGGUUCAAGUCCUCCCAGGCCCACCAAAUUAUCGCUCACGUGCCGUAUCGCAGCUAUCGCUGCUGGCACUUCGCGUGAGCGCAGCAUGGGCUGCGACGGCCGCUUGGCCUUGCAAAGCUUUGCUUUGAUAAAUGUGAUAAGGGGCUUUAGCUCAGCUGGGAGAGCACCUGCUUUG
RNAcentral lists this ribosomal RNA (194 nucleotides) under uncultured Ochrobactrum sp. RNAcentral describes it as "partial 16S-23S ribosomal RNA intergenic spacer". Lineage: Bacteria; Pseudomonadati; Pseudomonadota; Alphaproteobacteria; Hyphomicrobiales; Brucellaceae. The record is from RNAcentral.